UGGGGAAUUUUGGACAAUGGGGGCAACCCUGAUCCAGCAACGCCGCGUGAAUGAAGAAGGCCUUAGGGUUGUAAAGUUCUUUUAUCUGGGGGCAAAUCGUAUGUAUGAAUAGUGCAUAUGUCUGAGAGUACCAGAGGAAUAAGCACCGGCUAACUACGUGCCAGCAGCCGCGGUAAUACGUAGGGUGCGAGCGUUAAUCGGAAUUACUGGGCGUAAAGGGUGCGCAGGCGGGUGUGUAAGUUGGAUGUGAAAUCCCCGAGCUUAACUUGGGAACAGCAUUCAAGACUGCAUGCCUAGAGUUUUUCAGAGGGGGGUAGAAUUCCGGGUGUAGCAGUGAAAUGCGUAGAUAUCCGGAGGAAUACCAAUGGCGAAGGCAGCCCCCUGGGAUAUAACUGACGCUCAUGCACGAAAGCGUGGGGAGCAAACAGG
This 429-nucleotide ribosomal RNA is filed under the name uncultured bacterium. RNAcentral describes it as "bacterial SSU rRNA". It matches the Rfam family "Bacterial small subunit ribosomal RNA", at positions 355 to 776 of the family's 1533-position model. The record is from RNAcentral.